AGAGUUUGAUCAUGGCUCAGAACGAACGCUGGCGGCGUGCUUAAUACAUGCAAGUCGUGCGUGAAAGAGGAGCAAUCCUCGAGUAAAGCGGCAAACGGGUGAGUAACACGUAAGUAAUCUACCUCCAAAUCCGGGAUAACCUUGCCAACGCGGGGCUAAUACCGGAUGUGGUCCCAUGGUUCAUGAUCGUGGGAUUAAAGAUGACCUCUAUUUAUAAGUUAUCGCUUGGAGAUGAGCUUGCGGCCCAUUAGCUAGUUGGCGGGGUAAUAGCCCACCAAGGCUGUGAUGGGUAGCCGGCCUGAGAGGGUGUACGGCCACAUUGGGACUGAGAUACGGCCCAGACUCCUUCGGGAGGCAGCAGUAGGGAAUUUUGCGCAAUGGACGAAAGUCUGACGCAGCAACGCCGCGUGAGUGAUGAAGGUCUUCGGAUUGUAAAGCUCUGUUGAGUGGGAAGAAAAGUUACAGGUCUAAUAUAUCUGUAGCCUGACGGUACCAUUUGAGGAAGCCCCGGCUAACUACGUGCCAGCAGCCGCGGUAAUACGUAGGGGGCGAGCGUUGUUCGGAAUUACUGGGCGUAAAGGGAGCGUAGGCGGGUCAGUAAGUUAGAAGUUUAAUGCACAGGCUUAACCUGUGACUUGCUUUUAAUACUGCUAAUCUUGAGUAUGGAAGAGGGAGAUGGAAUUCCAGGUGUAGCGGUGGAAUGCGUAGAUAUCUGGAAGAACACCAUUAGCGAAGGCGGUCUCCUGGUCCAAUACUGACGCUGAGGCUCGAAAGCUAGGGGAGCAAACAGGAUUAGAUACCCUAGUAGUCC
Molecule: ribosomal RNA, 811 nt
Filed under: uncultured bacterium
Lineage: Bacteria
Description: bacterial SSU rRNA
Rfam family: Bacterial small subunit ribosomal RNA
Source: RNAcentral